UACGUAGGGUGCAAGCGUUAAUCGGAAUUACUGGGCGUAAAGCGUGCGCAGGCGGUUAUGUAAGACAGAUGUGAAAUCCCCGGGCUCAACCUGGGAACUGCAUUUGUGACUGCAUAGCUUGAGUGCGGCAGAGGGGGGAUGGAAUUCCGGCGUGUAGCAGUGAAAUGCGUAGAUAUGCGGAGGAACACCGAGUGGCGAAGGCAAUCCCCUGGGCCUGCACUGACGCUCAUGCACGAAAGCCGUGGGGAG
This 249-nucleotide ribosomal RNA is filed under the name uncultured bacterium. RNAcentral describes it as "partial 16S ribosomal RNA". It matches the Rfam family "Bacterial small subunit ribosomal RNA", at positions 524 to 768 of the family's 1533-position model. The record is from RNAcentral.